GCCUUGAUAGCUCAGUUGGGAGAGCGUUAGACUGAAGAUCUAAAGGUCACCAGUUCGAUCCUGGUUCAAGGCA
Molecule: transfer RNA, 73 nt
Filed under: Caenorhabditis remanei
Lineage: Eukaryota; Metazoa; Nematoda; Chromadorea; Rhabditida; Rhabditidae
Description: tRNA-Phe (GAA) (tRNA-Phe-GAA-4-1)
Rfam family: tRNA
About the family: Transfer RNA (tRNA) molecules are approximately 80 nucleotides in length. Their secondary structure includes four short double-helical elements and three loops (D, anti-codon, and T loops).
Source: Rfam by way of RNAcentral